GCUUAACACAUGCAGUCGAGCGCUCCCAAGGGGAGACGGCAGACGGGUGAGUAACGCGUGGGAAUCUACCCAACUCUACGGAAUAACCCAGGGAAACUUGGACUAAUACCGUAUACGUCCUCCGGGAGAAAGAUUUAUCGGAGUUGGAUGAGCCCGCGUUGGAUUAGCUAGUUGGUGGGGUAAUGGCCUACCAAGGCGACGAUCCAUAGCUGGUCUGAGAGGAUGAUCAGCCACAUUGGGACUGAGACGCGGCCCAAACUCCUACGGGAGGCAGCAGUGGGGAAUAUUGGACAAUGGGCGAAAGCCUGAUCCAGCCAUGCCGCGUGAGUGAUGAAGGCCCUAGGGUUGUAAAGCUCUUUCAACGGUGAAGAUAAUGACGGUAACCGUAGAAGAAGCCCCGGCUAACUUCGUGCCAGCAGCCGCGGUAAUACGAAGGGGGCUAGCGUUGUUCGGAAUUACUGGGCGUAAAGCGCACGUAGGCGGACAUUUAAGUCAGGGGUGAAAUCCCGGGGCUCAACCCCGGAACUGCCUUUGAUACUGGGUGUCUAGAGUCCGGAAGAGGUGAGUGGAAU
This 572-nucleotide ribosomal RNA is filed under the name uncultured bacterium. Its description in RNAcentral is "bacterial SSU rRNA". It matches the Rfam family "Bacterial small subunit ribosomal RNA", at positions 46 to 667 of the family's 1533-position model. The record is from RNAcentral.